Molecule: transfer RNA, 51 nt
Filed under: Polymyxa betae
Lineage: Eukaryota; Endomyxa; Phytomyxea; Plasmodiophorida; Plasmodiophoridae
Description: tRNA-Met
Source: RNAcentral
GCCUCUUUAGCUCAGUCGGCAGAGCGUAGGUCUCAUAUCCAUUCUCAGAGC